Molecule: ribosomal RNA, 699 nt
Filed under: Salmonella enterica
Lineage: Bacteria; Pseudomonadati; Pseudomonadota; Gammaproteobacteria; Enterobacterales; Enterobacteriaceae
Description: partial 23S ribosomal RNA
Rfam family: Bacterial large subunit ribosomal RNA
Source: RNAcentral
AAUCCAUAGGUUAAUGAGGCGAACCGGGGGAACUGAAACAUCUAAGUACCCCGAGGAAAAGAAAUCAACCGAGAUUCCCCCAGUAGCGGCGAGCGAACGGGGAGGAGCCCAGAGCCUGAAUCAGCAUGUGUGUUAGUGGAAGCGUCUGGAAAGGCGCGCGAUACAGGGUGACAGCCCCGUACACAAAAGCGCAUGUGCUGUGAGCUCGAUGAGUAGGGCGGGACACGUGGUAUCCUGUCUGAAUAUGGGGGGACCAUCCUCCAAGGCUAAAUACUCCUGACUGACCGAUAGUGAACCAGUACCGUGAGGGAAAGGCGAAAAGAACCCCGGCGAGGGGAGUGAAAAAGAACCUGAAACCGUGUACGUACAAGCAGUGGGAGCACAGGUUUACCUGUGUGACUGCGUACCUUUUGUAUAAUGGGUCAGCGACUUAUAUUCUGUAGCAAGGUUAACCGCAUAGGGGAGCCGGAGGGAAACCGAGUCUUAAUUGGGCGUUAAGUUGCAGGGUAUAGACCCGAAACCCGGUGAUCUAGCCAUGGGCAGGUUGAAGGUUGGGUAACACUAACUGGAGGACCGAACCGACUAAUGUUGAAAAAUUAGCGGAUGACCUGUGGCUGGGGGUGAAAGGCCAAUCAAACCGGGAGAUAGCUGGUUCUCCCCGAAAGCUAUUUAGGUAGCGCCUCGUGAAUUCAUCUCCGG